GAUUUCUGGCUUGCAACCUUAAGCCGGCCACGGUUUCGUGUGUUAGUGCUUGAGUUUCUGGCCAUCCUUCCAAUCGCUAUUCAUUCAUCUUCAUUGGUGGGUGAGUGGUAUUGGAUCUUUUACUUUGAAAAAAUUAGAGUGUUUCAAGCAGGCUUUAUGCUAUGAAUACAUUAGCAUGGAAUAAUAAUUUAGGACUUCGGUUCUAUUUUGUUGGUUUCUAGGACUGAAGUAAUGAUUGAUAGGGAUAGUUGGGGGUGCUAGUAUUCAGCGGCCAGAGGUGAAAUUCUCGGAUUCGCUGAAGACUAACUUAUGCGAAAGCAUU
RNAcentral lists this ribosomal RNA (322 nucleotides) under uncultured Neoheteromita. Its description in RNAcentral is "SSU rRNA". The stretch from base 62 to 322 matches the Rfam family "Eukaryotic small subunit ribosomal RNA", at positions 694 to 955 of the family's 1831-position model. Lineage: Eukaryota; Cercozoa; Glissomonadida; Viridiraptoridae. The record is from RNAcentral.